RNAcentral lists this ribosomal RNA (253 nucleotides) under uncultured bacterium. RNAcentral's name for it is "partial 16S ribosomal RNA". It matches the Rfam family "Bacterial small subunit ribosomal RNA", at positions 524 to 776 of the family's 1533-position model. The record is from RNAcentral.
UACAUGUGGGGCAAGCGUUGUUCGGAAUUACUGGGCAUAAAGGGUGCGUAGGCGGUUUGUUAAGUCAGGGGUGAAAGUUUUCGGCCCAACCGGAAAAUGGCCUUUGAUACUGGCGAACUUGAGUGCGUGAGGGGUAACCGGAACGAGUGGUGUAGCGGUGAAAUGCGUAGAUAUCACUCGGAAGGCCAAAGGCGAAGGCAGGUUACUGGUACGCAACUGACGCUGAGGCACGAAAGCGUGGGGAGCAAACAGG